This 292-nucleotide ribosomal RNA is filed under the name Gammaproteobacteria bacterium. RNAcentral describes it as "partial 16S ribosomal RNA". It matches the Rfam family "Bacterial small subunit ribosomal RNA", at positions 1 to 321 of the family's 1533-position model. The record is from RNAcentral. Lineage: Bacteria; Pseudomonadati; Pseudomonadota; Gammaproteobacteria.
CAACUUGAGAGUUUGAUCCUGGCUCAGAACGAACGCUGGCGGCAGGCUUAACACAUGCAAGUCGAGCGAGGACUUCGGUCCUAGCGGCGGACGGGUGAGUAACGCGUGGGAACGUGCCCUUUGCUACGGGAUAGUCCUGGGAAACUGGGUUUAAUACCGUAUGGUGUCUACGGACUAAAGAUUUAUCGGCAAAGGAUCGGCCCGCGUUGGAUUAGGUAGUUGGUGGGGUAAUGGCCUACCAAGCCGACGAUCCAUAGCUGGUUUGAGAGGAUGAUCAGCCACACUGGGACUG